ACGAACGCUGGCGGCGUGCCUAAUACAUGCACGUAUAUCGCUGAAGAGAGGAGCUUGCUCUUCUUGGAUGAGUUGCGAACGGGUGAGUAACGCGUAGGUAACCUGCCUUGUAGCGGGGGAUAACUAUUGGAAACGAUAGCUAAUACCGCAUAACAAUGAAUGACACAUGUCAUUUAUUUGAAAGGGGCAAUUGCUCCACUACAAGAUGGACCUGCGUUGUAUUAGCUAGUAGGUGAGGUAACGGCUCACCUAGGCGACGAUACAUAGCCGACCUGAGAGGGUGAUCGGCCACACUGGGACUGAGACACGGCCCAGACUCCUACGGGAGGCAGCAGUAGGGAAUCUUCGGCAAUGGGGGCAACCCUGACCGAGCAACGCCGCGUGAGUGAAGAAGGUUUUCGGAUCGUAAAGCUCUGUUGUAAGUCAAGAACGAGUGUGAGAGUGGAAAGUUCACACUGUGACGGUAGCUUACCAGAAAGGGACGGCUAACUACGUGCCAGCAGCCGCGGUAAUACGUAGGUCCCGAGCGUUGUCCGGAUUUAUUGGGCGUAAAGCGAGCGCAGGCGGUUUGAUAAGUCUGAAGUUAAAGGCUGUGGCUCAACCAUAGUUCGCUUUGGAAACUGUCAAACUUGAGUGCAGAAGGGGAGAGUGGAAUUCCAUGUGUAGCGGUGAAAUGCGUAGAUAUAUGGAGGAACACCGGUGGCGAAAGCGGCUCUCUGGUCUGUAACUGACGCUGAGGCUCGAAAGCGUGGGGAGCGAACAGGAUUAGAUACCCUGGUAGUCCACGCCGUAAACGAUGAGUGCUAGGUGUUGGAUCCUUUCCGGGAUUCAGUGCCGCAGCUAACGCAUUAAGCACUCCGCCUGGGGAGUACGACCGCAAGGUUGAAACUCAAAGGAAUUGACG
Molecule: ribosomal RNA, 904 nt
Filed under: uncultured bacterium
Lineage: Bacteria
Description: bacterial SSU rRNA
Rfam family: Bacterial small subunit ribosomal RNA
Source: RNAcentral